This 248-nucleotide ribosomal RNA is filed under the name uncultured Rhodobacter sp. RNAcentral's name for it is "partial 16S ribosomal RNA". It matches the Rfam family "Bacterial small subunit ribosomal RNA", at positions 356 to 622 of the family's 1533-position model. The record is from RNAcentral. Lineage: Bacteria; Pseudomonadati; Pseudomonadota; Alphaproteobacteria; Rhodobacterales.
UAGGAAUCUUGGGAAUGCGCGAAAGCGUGACCCAGCAACGCCGCGUGGGCGAUGAAGGCCUUCGGGUUGUAAAGCCCUUUUGCGGGGGAAGAUGAUGACGGUACCCCGCGAAUAAGCCACGGCUAACUACGUGCCAGCAGCCGCGGUAAUACGGAGGGGGCUAGCGUUGUUCGGAAUUACUGGGCGUAAAGCGCACGUAGGCGGAUUGGAAAGUCAGAGGUGAAAUCCCAGGGCUCAACCUUGGAACU